RNAcentral lists this transfer RNA (75 nucleotides) under Ipomoea nil (Japanese morning glory). It matches the Rfam family "tRNA". From Rfam's summary of the family: Transfer RNA (tRNA) molecules are approximately 80 nucleotides in length. Their secondary structure includes four short double-helical elements and three loops (D, anti-codon, and T loops). Lineage: Eukaryota; Viridiplantae; Streptophyta; Magnoliopsida; Solanales; Convolvulaceae. The record is from Rfam by way of RNAcentral.
UCUGUUGUAGUCUAGUUGGUUAGGAUACUCGGCUCUCACCCUAAGAGACCUUGGGUUCAAAUCCCAGCAACGGAA